RNAcentral lists this transfer RNA (63 nucleotides) under Ixodes philipi. RNAcentral's name for it is "tRNA-Trp". Lineage: Eukaryota; Metazoa; Arthropoda; Arachnida; Ixodida; Ixodidae. The record is from RNAcentral.
AGAUUUUAAGUUAUUUAAACUAUAUACCUUCAAAGUAUAAAAUAUCUUUGAUAGUUAAAUCUU